GACGAACGCUGGCGGCGUGCUUAACACAUGCAAGUCGAACGGAAAGGCCCUGCUUUUGUGGGGUGCUCGAGGGGCGAACGGGUGAGUAACACGUGAGUAACCUCCCCUUGACUUUUGGCUAACUUCAAGCAACUGGGGCUACUACCGGCUAGGAGCUCCCCCUGCCUUGCGGGGGUUGGCCAUCUUCGGCGGUUGGGGAUGGACUCGCGGCUUAUCCGCUUGUUGGUGGGGGAGUGGCUGACCCCGGCUUCCACGGGGAGCCGGCCGGAGAGGGUGACCGGGCACAGUGGGACUGAGAUACGGGCCGGAGUACUGCGGGAGGCAGCAGUGGGGGAGAUGGCACGAUGGGCGGAAGCCGGGUGCAGCAAGGCGGCGUGCGGGAUGACGGCCUGCGGGUGGUAAACCGCGUUCGCCUGUGAGGGAGCGGGGGUGACGGUAAUGGGUAAAGAAGCACCGGCUAACUACGUG
This 468-nucleotide ribosomal RNA is filed under the name uncultured bacterium. RNAcentral's name for it is "partial 16S ribosomal RNA". It matches the Rfam family "Bacterial small subunit ribosomal RNA", at positions 28 to 507 of the family's 1533-position model. The record is from RNAcentral.